RNAcentral lists this small RNA (206 nucleotides) under Franconibacter helveticus. RNAcentral describes it as "Enterobacterial sRNA STnc180". It matches the Rfam family "Enterobacterial sRNA STnc180". Lineage: Bacteria; Pseudomonadati; Pseudomonadota; Gammaproteobacteria; Enterobacterales; Enterobacteriaceae. The record is from RNAcentral.
UACACAGCAAUAAGGCUGAGCUGAUUAAAAAUUCAGUUCGGAUGAAUGGUUUAUUUUAUUGGUGUGAUAGCUAUGAAUAAUCAAACUACCCUCAAAUACUGGUCAUGGCUUGGUGCAUUUUCCGUCUCUGUCCUCUUCUGGAGCCAGAUGGUCUGGAUCUGCCUGCGCUAACCGCCUGAACGCCCGUUAUACGGGCGUUUUGCUUU